This 495-nucleotide ribosomal RNA is filed under the name uncultured bacterium. RNAcentral describes it as "partial 16S ribosomal RNA". It matches the Rfam family "Bacterial small subunit ribosomal RNA", at positions 28 to 507 of the family's 1533-position model. The record is from RNAcentral.
GACGAACGCUGGCGGCGUGCCUAGUACAUGCAAGUCGAACGCUGAAGGAGGAGCUUGCUUCUCUGGAUGAGUUGCGAACGGGUGAGUAACGCGUAGGUAACCUGCCUGGUAGCGGGGGAUAACUAUUGGAAACGAUAGCUAAUACCGCAUAAUAGCAGUUGUUGCAUGACAACUGUUUGAAAGGUGCAAUUGCACCACUACCAGAUGGACCUGCGUUGUAUUAGCUAGUUGGUGGGGUAACGGCUCACCAAGGCGACGAUACAUAGCCGACCUGAGAGGGUGAUCGGCCACACUGGGACUGAGACACGGCCCAGACUCCUACGGGAGGCAGCAGUAGGGAAUCUUCGGCAAGGGACGGAAGUCUGACCGAGCAACGCCGCGUGAGUGAAGAAGGUUUUCGGAUCGUAAAGCUCUGUUGUAAGAGAAGAACGAGUGUGAGAGUGGAAAGUUCACACUGUGACGGUAUCUGAACAGAAAGGGACGGCUAACUACGUG